AACGAACGCUGGCGGCAGGCCUAACACAUGCAAGUCGAACGCCGUAGCAAUACGGAGUGGCAGACGGGUGAGUAACGCGUGGGAACCUUCCCUAUGGUUCGGAAUAGCUCAGGGAAACCUGGGGUAAUACCGGAUAAGCCCUUCGGGGGAAAGAUUUAUCGCCAUUGGAUGGGCCCGCGUCGGAUUAGCUAGUUGGUGGGGUAACGGCCUACCAAGGCGACGAUCCGUAGCUGGACUGAGAGGAUGAUCAGCCACACUGGGACUGAGACACGGCCCAGACUCCUACGGGGGGCAGCAGUGGGGAAUAUUGGACAAUGGGCGAAAGCCUGAUCCAGCCAUGCCGCGUGAGUGACGAAGGCCUUAGGGUUGUAAAGCUCUUUUGGCGGUGAAGAUAAUGACGGUACCCGCAGAAUAAGCUCCGGCUAACUUCGUGCCAGCAGCCGCCGUAA
Molecule: ribosomal RNA, 449 nt
Filed under: uncultured bacterium
Lineage: Bacteria
Description: partial 16S ribosomal RNA
Rfam family: Bacterial small subunit ribosomal RNA
Source: RNAcentral